CGUGCUUAACACAUGCAAGUCGAACGGGAUCCGGCCAGCUUGCUGGUUGGUGAGAGUGGCGAACGGGUGAGUAAUGCGUGACCGACCUGCCCCAUGCUCCGGAAUAGCUCCUGGAAACGGGUGGUAAUGCCGGAUGGUCCAGCAUGCUGCAUGGCGUGUUGGGAAAGAUUUAUCGGCGUGGGAUGGGGUCGCGUCCUAUCAGCUUGACGGUGGGGUGAUGGCCUACCGUGGCUUCGACGGGUAGCCGGCCUGAGAGGGCGACCGGCCACAUUGGGACUGAGAUACGGCCCAGACUCCUACGGGAGGCAGCAGUGGGGAAUAUUGCACAAUGGGCGCAAGCCUGAUGCAGCGACGCCGCGUGAGGGAUGGAGGCCUUCGGGUUGUAAACCUCUUUUAGCAGGGAGCAAGGCUUCGGUUGAGUGUACCUGUUGAAUAAGCACCGGCUAACUACGUGCCAGCAGCCGCGGUAAUACGUAGGGUGCAAGCGUUAUCCGGAAUUAUUGGGCGUAAAGGGCUCGUAGGCGGUUCGUCGCGUCU
Molecule: ribosomal RNA, 537 nt
Filed under: Bifidobacterium scardovii
Lineage: Bacteria; Bacillati; Actinomycetota; Actinomycetes; Bifidobacteriales; Bifidobacteriaceae
Description: bacterial SSU rRNA
Rfam family: Bacterial small subunit ribosomal RNA
Source: RNAcentral